CAGUUAAUCCAGCCAAAGCCAGUCACAAGCCUGGUUGAUAAAUGGGGAGUGGCUG
Molecule: non-coding RNA, 55 nt
Filed under: unclassified sequences
Source: RNAcentral